This 506-nucleotide ribosomal RNA is filed under the name uncultured bacterium. Its description in RNAcentral is "SSU rRNA". It matches the Rfam family "Bacterial small subunit ribosomal RNA", at positions 26 to 518 of the family's 1533-position model. The record is from RNAcentral.
AGGACGAACGCUGGCGGCGUGCCUAACACAUGCAAGUGGAGCGACGAACCAGGCUUCGGCCUGGGGCAAAGCCGCGAACGGGUGAGUAACACGUGGGUAACCUGCCCUGAUGAUCGGGACAACCCGAGGAAACUCGGGCUAAUACCGAAUGUGUCCCUCGGCCAUAAGGCCGUUGGGGAAAGGAAGCUUCGGCCUCCGCAUCGGGAUGGGCCCGCGGCCCAUUAGCUUGUUGGUGAGGUAACGGCUCACCAAGGCAACGAUGGGUAGCUGGUCUGAGAGGACGAUCAGCCACACUGGGACUGAGACACGGCCCAGACUCCUACGGGAGGCAGCAGUGGGGAAUCUUGCGCAAUGCGCGAAAGCGUGACGCAGCAACGCCGCGUGGGGGAAGACGGCCUUCGGGUUGUAAACCCCUUUCAGUUGGGACGAAGCUUCGCCGGUGAAUAGCCGGCUGGAGUGACGGUACCUUCAGAAGAAGCCCCGGCUAACUACGUGCCAGCAGCCGC